AUGAAAAUAGAAGCUACUUACAGUGCAACCAUAGACAUCAUAUACAUCAAAACAGAUGGUUCCUAUAGACAGGGUCUAUAUAGUUAUCAAAUUUUCUGUGUGAUGGCUCCGUACAUA
This 117-nucleotide small nucleolar RNA is filed under the name Castor canadensis (American beaver). Lineage: Eukaryota; Metazoa; Chordata; Mammalia; Rodentia; Castoridae. The record is from RNAcentral.